Molecule: ribosomal RNA, 660 nt
Filed under: uncultured bacterium
Lineage: Bacteria
Description: bacterial SSU rRNA
Rfam family: Bacterial small subunit ribosomal RNA
Source: RNAcentral
AGUGGCGGACGGGUGAGUAACGCGUGAGAAUCUGCCUUGGGGUCGGGGACAACCACUGGAAACGGUGGCUAAUACCGGAUAAGCCGAUUGGUGAAAGAUUUAUUGCCCGAAGAGGAGCUCGCGUCUGAUUAGCUAGUUGGUGAGGUAAGAGCUCACCAAGGCAGCGAUCAGUAGCUGGUCUGAGAGGACGAUCAGCCACACUGGGACUGAGACACGGCCCAGACUCCUACGGGAGGCAGCAGUGGGGAAUUUUCCGCAAUGGGCGAAAGCCUGACGGAGCAAGACCGCGUGAGGGAGGAAGGCUCUUGGGUUGUAAACCUCUUUUCUCAGGGAAGAAGCUCUGACGGUACCUGAGGAAUCAGCCUCGGCUAACUCCGUGCCAGCAGCCGCGGUAAUACGGAGGAGGCAAGCGGUAUCCGGAAUUAUUGGGCGUAAAGCGUCCGCAGGUGGCGAUUCAAGUCUGCUGUCAAAGCACGGGGCUUAACUCCGUAAAGGCAGUGGAAACUGAAUAGCUAGAGUGCCGUAGGAGUAGAGGGAAUUCCCGGUGUAGCGGUGAAAUGCGUAGAGAUCGGGAAGAACAUCGGUGGCGAAAGCGCUCUACUGGACGGCAACUGACACUCAGGGGCGAAAGCUAGGGGAGCGAAUGGGAUUAGAUACCCC